GUUCCCUAUGAUGUUUCAAACCAUGCUAAUAUUGAGACUUCAUCAUUGAUGAAUAUCUUAUUUUAAUGUUUUGAAGGAACU
Non-coding RNA from Thalictrum thalictroides, 81 nucleotides. Lineage: Eukaryota; Viridiplantae; Streptophyta; Magnoliopsida; Ranunculales; Ranunculaceae. The record is from the annotation of a GenBank genome assembly.